GACGAACGCUGGCGGCGCGCUUAACACAUGCAAGUCGAGCGAGAACCAUUCUUCGGAAUGGGGACAGCGGCGAACGGGUGAGUAACACGUGGGUAAUCUGCCCUCGAUUCUGGGAUAGCCCGGGGAAACCCGGAUUAAUACCGGAUAGCCUCUCGAGCUUACGAGCUCGUGAGAAAAGGUAGCUUCGGCCUCCGAUCGAGGAUGAGCCCGCGGCGGAUUAGCUUGUUGGUGGGGUAAUGGCCUACCAAGGCAACGAUCCGUAGCUGGUCUGAGAGGACGAUCAGCCACACUGGGACUGAGACACGGCCCAGACUCCUACGGGAGGCAGCAGUGGGGAAUCUUGCGCAAUGGGCGAAAGCCUGACGCAGCGACGCCGCGUGGGGGAAGAAGGCCUUCGGGUUGUAAACCUCUUUCAGCAGGGACGAAGCCACUCGGGUGAAUAGCCCAGAGGGUGACGGUACCUGCAGAAGAAGCCCCGGCUAACUACGUG
Molecule: ribosomal RNA, 490 nt
Filed under: uncultured Actinomycetes bacterium
Lineage: Bacteria; Bacillati; Actinomycetota; Actinomycetes
Description: bacterial SSU rRNA
Rfam family: Bacterial small subunit ribosomal RNA
Source: RNAcentral